RNAcentral lists this unclassified non-coding RNA (304 nucleotides) under uncultured fungus. Its description in RNAcentral is "partial contains 5.8S ribosomal RNA, internal transcribed spacer 2, and large subunit ribosomal RNA". The stretch from base 1 to 52 matches the Rfam family "5.8S ribosomal RNA", at positions 103 to 154 of the family's 154-position model. Lineage: Eukaryota; Fungi. The record is from RNAcentral.
AACGCACAUUGCGCCCCCUGGUACUCCGGGGGGCAUGCCUGUCUGAGCGUCAUCGCACAACCCCUCGGGCCACGGCCCGGUGAUGGGGCGCGACGCGGGCCGAGAGGCCCCGCGCCCGCCCCCAAAUCGAUCGGACGGCGGCCCCAACUGGCGGGCCCGCGUACGUGUUUGACGAGCCCCAGAGGCGAACCUCACGCAACGCGGCGCCACGACCGGGAGGGGACCCGCGGAUGGGUCCGCCGGCGAAGGCCGGGAAGCCACAGCACUUGACCUCAGAUCAGGUAGGGAUACCCGCUGAACUUAA